UACGGAGGGUGCAAGCGUUAUCCGGAUUCACUGGGUUUAAAGGGUGUGUAGGCGGAUAUUUAAGUCAGUGGUGAAAUCUCAAGGCUCAACCUUGAAACUGCCAUUGAUACUAUUUAUCUUGAAUAUCGUUGAGGUAGGCGGAAUAUAUCAUGUAGCGGUGAAAUUCGUAGAUAUUCGGAGGAACACCAGUGGCGAAGGCGGCUCACUGGUCCAUUACUGACGCUGAGGUGCGAAAGCGUGGGGAGCAAACAGG
RNAcentral lists this ribosomal RNA (253 nucleotides) under uncultured bacterium. RNAcentral's name for it is "partial 16S ribosomal RNA". It matches the Rfam family "Bacterial small subunit ribosomal RNA", at positions 524 to 776 of the family's 1533-position model. The record is from RNAcentral.